CUUUAGGCUUCACUAGAAGCCACCAAUCUUUUUAAUGGCCUAGGUU
Non-coding RNA from Cyclospora cayetanensis, 46 nucleotides. The record is from Rfam. NCBI's taxonomy places the organism in Eukaryota, Apicomplexa, Conoidasida, Eucoccidiorida, Eimeriidae.